GAUGAACGCUGGCGGCGUGCCUAAUACAUGCAAGUCGAGCGAACAGAUAAGGAGCUUGCUCCUUUGACGUUAGCGGCGGACGGGUGAGUAACACGUGGGUAACCUACCUAUAAGACUGGGAUAACUUCGGGAAACCGGAGCUAAUACCGGAUAACAUUUAGAACCGCAUGGUUCUAUAGUGAAAGACGGUUUUGCUAUCACUUAUAGAUGGACCCGCGCCGCAUUAGCUAGUUGGUAAGGUAACGGCUUACCAAGGCGACGAUACGUAGCCGACCUGAGAGGGUGAUCGGCCACACUGGAACUGAGACACGGUCCAGACUCCUACGGGAGGCAGCAGUAGGGAAUCUUCCGCAAUGGGCGAAAGCCUGACGGAGCAACGCCGCGUGAGUGAUGAAGGUUUUCGGCUCGUAAAACUCUGUUAUUAGGGAAGAACAAAUGUGUAAGUAACUGUGCACAUCUUGACGGUACCUAAUCAGAAAGCCACGGCUAACUACGUG
This 497-nucleotide ribosomal RNA is filed under the name uncultured bacterium. RNAcentral's name for it is "partial 16S ribosomal RNA". It matches the Rfam family "Bacterial small subunit ribosomal RNA", at positions 28 to 507 of the family's 1533-position model. The record is from RNAcentral.